This 200-nucleotide unclassified non-coding RNA is filed under the name soil metagenome. RNAcentral's name for it is "partial contains internal transcribed spacer 2 and large subunit ribosomal RNA". The record is from RNAcentral.
CCUGUUCGAGCGUCAUUAUAACCACUCAAGCCUCGGCUUGGUAUUGGGGUUCGAGGUUUCUCGGCCCUUAAAACUAGUGGCGGUGCAUCUGGCUCUAAGCGUAGUAAUUUUCUCGCUAUAGGGUUCCGGUGGUUACUUGCCAAAAUCCCCCAUUUUUUAAGGUUGACCUCGGAUCAGGUAGGGAUACCCGCUGAACUUAA